AGUGAACGCUGGCGGUAGGCCUAACACAUGCAAGUCGAACGGCAGCACAGGAGAGCUUGCUCUCUGGGUGGCGAGUGGCGGACGGGUGAGGAAUACAUCGGAAUCUACUUUUUCGUGGGGGAUAACGUAGGGAAACUUACGCUAAUACCGCAUACGACCUACGGGUGACAGCAGGGGAUCUUCGGACCUUGCGCGAUUGAAUGAGCCGAUGUCGGAUUAGCUAGUUGGCGGGGUAAAGGCCCACCAAGGCGACGAUCCGUAGCUGGUCUGAGAGGACGAUCAGCCACACUGGAACUGAGACACGGUCCAGACUCCUACGGGAGGCGGCAGUGGGGAAUAUUGGACAAUGGGCGCAAGCCUGAUCCAGCCAUACCGCGUGGGUGAAGAAGGCCUUCGGGUUGUAAAGCCCUUUUGUUGGGAAAGAAAUCCAGCUGGUUAAUACCCGGUUGGGAUGACGGUACCCAAAGAAUAAGCACCGGCUAACUUCGUGCCAGCCGCCGCGGUAA
Molecule: ribosomal RNA, 506 nt
Filed under: uncultured bacterium
Lineage: Bacteria
Description: partial 16S ribosomal RNA
Rfam family: Bacterial small subunit ribosomal RNA
Source: RNAcentral